AUUGAACGCUGGCGGUAUGCUUAACACAUGCAAGUCGAACGGUAACAGGCCUUCGGGCGCUGACGAGUGGCGGACGGUGAGUAACGCGUAGGAAUCUGCCUCAUAGUGGGGACAACGUGGGGAAACUCACGCUAAUACCGCAUACGCCCUACGGGGAAAGCGGGGAUCUUCGGACCUCGCGCUAUGAGAUGAGCCUGCGUUAGAUUAGCUAGUUGGUAGGGUAAAGGCCUACCAAGGCGACGAUCUAUAGCUGGUCUGAGAGGACGAUCAGCCACACUGGGACUGAGACACGGCCCAGACUCCUACGGGAGGCAGCAGUGGGGAAUAUUGGACAAUGGGCGCAAGCCUGAUCCAGCAAUACCGCGUGUGUGAAGAAGGCCUUAGGGUUGUAAAGCACUUUCAAUUGGGAGGAAAACCUGCCGGUCAAUACCCGGCAGCUUGACAUUAACCUUUAGAAAGAAGCACCGGCUAACUCCGUGCCAGCAGCCGCGGUAAU
RNAcentral lists this ribosomal RNA (496 nucleotides) under uncultured bacterium. RNAcentral's name for it is "bacterial SSU rRNA". It matches the Rfam family "Bacterial small subunit ribosomal RNA", at positions 30 to 524 of the family's 1533-position model. The record is from RNAcentral.